GCCGGUGUUCCGACAGUGACCAAGGAGCAUGGACUUGAAGAUGACUGCAAUGGGCUCCCCAACCGAUGGGGCUGGCAUCAGUAGUGAUUCGUGAGAAGGAGGCGUGCAAAUGACUCUUGGUGGAGGAAUGUCUAUUAAUUCAAUGGCGUAACCUUGAGCAAUGAUGGUAAGUACCCAGGGUUCCAAGAAUAUCAUCUGUCUUGGAAUCAAAAAGACCUGUACCAUCGAAAGGCAAACCUUCUAUCAUCAUUGAUACUGGCUGACCAUAUGUGACGUCUGAUGACCACUCCUGUCAAUAAAGUCUUAGAAGCUGCUUCAAUAAUGUGUCUGGUUGUGACCCUUUCUUGUCUCACGAGCGCCACGGCUUCUUGGUGAAGAGAGAGUCCCCGGGGUUUAAGUUCUGCUGGAGCUGCUUGCAGGGAUGGAAGGGUGUGAUUCUAUAAAUGUUUAUGGUACACACCCAUGGCAGCGAUGUAGUUAGCCGCCUGCAGGGUAAAUUAUGCCAGGGAAUAUGCUCUACGUCUGAGGAUGUCGUGCUUUUUACCUUCUUUGCUGUUGGGCGUAGUGUUUGAUCUUGAACGAGAUCAAGCAUGUGUCACAUCCACAACGACUUAGG
Pogona vitticeps (central bearded dragon) is the source of this 616-nucleotide non-coding RNA. The record is from RefSeq and is a predicted model, not a curated record. NCBI's taxonomy places the organism in Eukaryota, Metazoa, Chordata, Lepidosauria, Squamata, Agamidae.